This 1494-nucleotide long non-coding RNA is filed under the name Homo sapiens (human). RNAcentral's name for it is "long non-coding RNA NONHSAT220896.1". The record is from RNAcentral. Lineage: Eukaryota; Metazoa; Chordata; Mammalia; Primates; Hominidae.
CCCAGCACUUUGGGAGGCCGAGGCGGGCGGAUCACAAGGUCAGGAAAUCGAGACCAUCCUGGCGAACACUGUGAAACCCCGUCUCUUCUAAAAAUACAAAAAAAAAUUAGCCAGGCGUGGUGGCGGGCGCUUGUAGUCCCAGCUACUCAGGAUGCUGAGGCAGGAGAAUGGCGUGAACCCGGGAGGCGCAGCUUGCAGCGAGCCAAGAUGGCGCCGCUGCACUCCAGCCUGGGCAGCAGAGCGAGACUCCAUCUCAAAAAAAAAAAAAAAAAAAAAGAAAAGAAAAGAAACUGGCGGACAAAGGAAGAGAUCCUCCUUCAGGCAGGGUAGGGAAGAAGGGCACUCGGUGACCAGAGACCUUUUCCAGGACCAUGUCUUUGAAGCAAAUCUCAGCUCUUGUCUUCCGGAAGCGAUGGAGACAGAAUCCAGAAGCCUGAGAAGUUUCUGAGCUAUCUAAUUACCAAGUGCAGGGCACAGAGCCGUGAUGAGGGAGACAUGAUCUCAGUCUGGAAGACAGACUAUUAAGCCAAAUAUUCCAAAACACUGUGGAGGGUGUUGUGAAUUGGAAACCAAGGACGGAUCACAGCUUGGGAGGAUCAAGCCACCACUCCACACAGCUGUUAAACAACUUCCGCAGACUCUCUCCUUUCCUGGCUUUGAUGAAGCAAGCUGCCACACUGGAGAGGCCUACAUGAUAAGGACCUGAAGGUGGCCUCCAGCUAGCUCCAGCCAACAGUUGGCAAGGAAUUGAGGACCUGAGUCCAAUAGACCUUGAGGAACUGAAUCCUGCAACAGCUACACAAGUGAGCAUGGCAGUGUAUCCUUCCCCAGUAAAGCCUUCAGAUGAGACCCCAGCCCCAGCUGACACCUUGAUUGAAGCCUUGUGAGAGACCCUGAAGCAGAGAAACCAGCUAGGCCUUGCCUGGAUUCCUGAUCCACAAACUCCUGAAAGGUUUUAGAGUAAACUUUUUGUACUUUUAUGAAAUAAUAGUGUUUUAAUUACAGGACAUCUGAAAAGUGUCAAAAGAUCCUAGGAUAAGACUGAGGAGGCCAUUAUCAGGCUCCCUACAAGGGACUGGUCAUCUUUUAGAAGCCAAAAGAGAAAAAUGGCUUUUGUGAUGCCCUAUAAUUACAUGAACUCUACUAAAAAGAGGGAUACUGGAAAGAAGAAUAAUGUUGAGACACCUUUGCAGAAGAAAAAACAACUUCCUCUCUUCCUCUACUUCACUCUGGCAAGUUCUCCAACCUGACAAGCCAGUAGGGUGAGUAACAGGAUAGUGAUGAAGUUAGAAGCAAAGAGAUCUUAUAGGAGCCUGAGUAGAAUGCCCCUUAGGGGUGCCCUUAGUUGAUUGGUCUUGAAGAACCUCAAGGAUCUGUAGAAAAGCUCAAAUUGUCAUUGAUAAUAUUAACAUGGUUCACAUAUGUAAGUGGCUUCAUUUAUAAAGUCCUUUUACAUACAGUAUUCCAUGUGAUGCUCAAAACCAUCACAUGGGG